GCUUUAGCAGAUUAGGAAACAGAGAGUCAAAACAGGCCAGCGAGCGCCUCAGACCGCGCAGCCGGCGGAGGCGGCGCUAGGAGGCACAUCCACAGCUGUCGCCUCUUUCAAAAGGGUUGUGCCUAAAUCCGGCGUCGUAGCCCACCCAGCACUGAACCAGGGGGCAUUGUCGUCGAGUAUAAUGUGGAAUCCGCUUUGUCGUGGGACAUUUGUAUUUCUGGGAUUCUUGGCGUCUCUGUGGGCUUCUUGGGUCACACAUCAUAAUGGUUGGUUACGGGCCUGGUCUGAACUGUCCAGCCUGUGUGUCCUCAGUGGUCCUGGUUUGGGUGUUUUGAAGGCCCAGCCCAAGAUUCCGGGGUACAGGGAGUUCCAUGAUUUAAGACCCUUAUGGUAGGUUACAACUAAAUGGUUUUGGCCGUUCUAGCCCUGCUUCCUAGGAACAAACCAACUCCUAAAGUAAAGCGGAAUCCCACCUGGCAGAUGGCCAGUCUGAAUGGCGACCUCCCACCAGGGCUGCAGAGCAGAGGAGGAGGAGGCUGAGAUAGAGCGGACGCUAGAUUCACGCUGCUAGUAGUAAUAUGGGAUCCUUGUGUUCUGCAAGCCACUCUUCAAACUGCUGACAGCCUGAGGUCGGAGCCAAGCUUUGGGAGAGGCGAGCUGGGUGAGCUGGGGCUAAGGCAGGCCUGCCAAGGACAAGUCCCUUCAUUUGAAAGUCUGAGAGAGAAUGGCCUGGGGGAAGGAAAGAACCAUCUACCACCAGGAAAAUUCUCUCUCAGACCUCCCUAACAGCCUUUGACUUCUUUCAGAGCCUCCGCUGUUUUCAGAUCCCGAGGGGCUCUCAUACCACAUGUAGCACUGAGACAUGUGGUUGCUUCCGCCUUUCUGGUUUCACAGACGCAGAAAGUAGUGCCGGAAAGAACUUCCUGAAUUACCUGUUUCUGCUUGCAAUGAAAGAUGAAAAACGCGGAGCUAGAGAGGUUAUCCUGUUCAUUUGUGGCCUAACCAAUAGUCCGAUUUUCAGCUCCACCUUUGUAGUUCCCUGCAUGUAUCCUAGUUCCACAGAAAAUGAAUAGAUCUCAGAGAGAGCACAAGCAAGGGGAGCGGCAGGCAGAGGGAGAAGCAGGCUCCCUGUUGAGCAAGGAGUCUCAUGCCUGGUUGGAUCCCAGAACCUUGGGAUCAUGACCUGAGUGGAACACAGACGCUUUACCGACUGAGCCAUCCAGGCGCCCCUGGAAUAUUGUGAAGACUGAGUCUUCUUUUUGUGAAAAUCAUAGGGCUAUCUACCUUUUCAAGUCUUUUAUUUUAUUUUAUUUAUUUUCAUUUUUAUUUUUAUUUUUUUUUUAAAGAUUUUAUUUAUUUAUUUGUCAGAGAGAGAGCGAGAGCGAGCACAGGCAGACAGAGUGGAAGUCAGAGUCAGGAGCAAGGAGCCCUAUGUGGGACUCGAUCCCAGGAUGCUGGGAUCAUGACCUGAGCCGAAGGCAGCUGCUUAACCAACUGAGCCACCCAGGCAUCCCCCUUUUCAAGUCUUUUAAUGUUAUGCACCAAAAAAUGUCUUUUUUUCCCCCACAAAUUUACUUCUUUUAUGAACUCGAAUUUUUAAAAAAACUUUAUUUGAAAAAAAAAAAAAAAGACUAUUUAUUUGAGAGAGAGAAAACAGCAGGGGAGUUAGGGCAGAGGGAGAAACUGACUCCCUACUGAGCAGGAAGCCCUAUGUGCUGCCACAUCCCAGGACCCCAGAUCAUGACCUGAACUGAAGGCAGAUGCUUAACUGACUGAACCACCCAGGUGUCCCUAUUUUGUACCACUUUUGAUGUUAUUGUGAAUGGAUUAUUUCUGCUAUCGUAGGAAAAUUUUUUUUCCCAUUUUACAAAAUAUUUUUUUCUGCAAGGACAGUGAUAAAAAUGAUGCAUAUAAUCUCAUUCCUGCAAACUACAAGAAGGUUGUGUAUCUAACAGUUAAGCACAUAAAUCUCAGGGAGCAGGAGGUGAAGGAAGCUGUGUCCAUUGUUUUUGUUGUGUGUAUUUUCUGAUUUUCCUAAAAUUUUCGUGUUUCACUGUAUAAUCUUUGCAGGCUAGCAUCAUCAGAAGAAUGAUGAUGAAACAUCCUCACUAUUGUCCUACCCUGGGAGAAGCCCUGCUGUUCGGAUGCAGGUCCCUCUUAGGCUGGCGGGUCUCGGGUCUCCGCUUCCCCUGUUGUUGGGGCCCCGCGUCUCCCAGAGCCUCCGUGGUACACGCUCUCCGCCGGGGCUGCUGGGAAGUUGCCCGCGCGGCCCCGCUACGCACGUACGCUCGGCGGCGGGGCCUAUAGCUCUGCUGCGUUGGGUGGAUGGCCGGUGUCCGUAUGCGUAACGCGGCUGUGAGGACCCCGUAGUGGGUGCCUCCCGACCUUGGGGUGGGAAAGGCGGUCCUCCCACAGGAAAAGCGGGUCUUGGCUCCGGAGGCCUGGGAGGGUUGCAGCCCCGGGCGGGUGCGCCCGGCCUGCGAAGGCGGUUCUGGUCCGCUCCCAGCAGCGCCCCCUGGAGGAGGCCCGGCUGUUCAGCUCGCUUCUCUGCGCUGAGAACCAAGGCAUGUUUGAGCCCAGUAGUGUGGAGUGGUUAAUGAUAAAGCCGUUGGCAUUUCGUUGAAUUUUCACAACCAUUUGUUGUAGCAGAUAAGAACUAGUUUUGGAGAGAUGAUGAUUCACCCGAGUUCACAUAGCCCACAGAUGAGGGGGUUGGGUUAAAGGCCAGAUCUGUUUUCCAAAUCUCUUGCUGCUGCUAAAAGGCCACUCUAUCUGGAAAGUACCUUGGGUUCCUUCACAGCGGCAAAGUGGCAAGAUGCCUGGGGUCAGAGUCCAUAAUCGAGACUGUGGGCCCCUCCCAGUUCUCCCAGUUUGUGUGUCCAGCAGUUCUGAUUUGAGCCUAUAGAAGGUCUAAUCCUGGGAGCAACCUUCAGGAGAGUCAGACUGGGGGUCUUGUGUGAAGAUUCCAGUUAAAUGAUUUUGUUCUGUAGGCCCCAGUUCCAUUUCUUUAGGAACAAAGCAAUUCUUGAAAGAUAAAAGGGAAGGAAUGGCACAAAUCAGAAACCCACCUGAAGGAAAACACCCCUGCGACCUUCCUCAGACCUUUCACCAGAGUUUUGAACGUUAAGUGGAAGUAACCCCCCAAAGAAACAGACUCCAGAUUUCCAAGGCCAGAAGCAAUUUUUUAUCUCCCCGCUCUAAAUGAGCAUGCUUUCAGAUGUCACAUCUGAAACUUCGACAUCUCUGUGACAGUGGAAGAUCAAGAUCAGGUUUCAGCAAGACAGGCGUGCUGCCGUAAGUGGUGUAGCUGAAAAUAAUGGUUUGAGAACCACGGGUAUGAAGACAAAAGCAGGAAAAAGCCCUGAAAGCCACCAUCUGUCCAUGUGGACAAAGACUGGUAACAAGCAGUCUGUGGACUGGCACUAGCCUUCGGGCCACACCCUGAGAAGCAGAAUGACAGAAUGUGACUGAGAACUGAGUGAAGCCAAAGCAGCAGCUCAACUUGGGCCAGGGAAGUACCGGAUAACCUUCAAACUCUGACACCUCAGGCCUGAGGGGCACUACCCACAUACUUCUCAGGAAACUGAAGAAAACCAGGCUGCUUGCAGGAGUGACCAGACUAUCCUACUUAUCACCAGUGGAAAAGAGCUCAUCUCCCUGGAUCCAACAACUUACUUAAAGGUAGGAAAUAGUAAUGCUGAAGUCAGGAGAUGGACAAGAGCUGUCAUCGCACUGGAUUACCUGUAGUCAACCAAAUGUCAUGCUAUAAUCUAGAAUAGCCCUUUACAUGCUGCUUCUGCCUUGAGUUGUAUUUCUCCCAUCCAUUUUGCAACUCCUAAUUUCAGGACAAUAAACAACUACCUUUCUCAA
This is a long non-coding RNA of Mustela lutreola (European mink), 3870 nucleotides long. RefSeq lists it as uncharacterized. NCBI's taxonomy places the organism in Eukaryota, Metazoa, Chordata, Mammalia, Carnivora, Mustelidae. The record is from RefSeq and is a predicted model, not a curated record. The transcript is spliced from 6 exons.